GAUGAACGCUGGCGGCGUGCCUAAUACAUGCAAGUCGAGCGAACAGAUGAGGAGCUUGCUCCUCUGACGUUAGCGGCGGACGGGUGAGUAACACGUGGAUAACCUACCUAUAAGACUGGGAUAACUUCGGGAAACCGGAGCUAAUACCGGAUAAUAUAUUGAACCGCAUGGUUCAAUAGUGAAAGACGGUUUUGCUGUCACUUAUAGAUGGAUCCGCGCCGCAUUAGCUAGUUGGUAAGGUAACGGCUUACCAAGGCAACGAGGCGUAGCCGACCUGAGAGGGUGAUCGGCCACACUGGAACUGAGACACGGUCCAGACCCCUACGGGAGGCAGCAGUAGGGAAUCUUCCGCAAUGGGCGAAAGCCUGACGGAGCAACGCCGCGUGAGUGAUGAAGGUCUUCGGAUCGUAAAACUCUGUUAUUAGGGAAGAACAAAUGUGUAAGUAACUAUGCACGUCUUGACGGUACCUAAUCAGAAAGCCACGGCUAACUACGUG
Molecule: ribosomal RNA, 497 nt
Filed under: uncultured bacterium
Lineage: Bacteria
Description: partial 16S ribosomal RNA
Rfam family: Bacterial small subunit ribosomal RNA
Source: RNAcentral